AUGCAAAGAACUUUGAAAAGAGAGUUAAAGAGUACCUGAAAUUGCUGAAAAGGAAGCGAAGGAAACCAGUGCCGGGCCGAUCAUACUUCCCUCGCCACCUGUGGCUUGGGCGCUGUGGCCGGUCCAUCUGUUUGACUUGGUUGGGUCCUCUGGAAGGGCGCCGUCAGAGUUGAUGUCGGUUGCCAGCAUUGGACCUGACCGAGGGAGACGAAAUGGUUUUCUUUACCCCGUCUUGAAACACGGACCAAGGAGUCUAACAUAUGUGCGAGUACAGGGGUGUCAAACCCCGGUGCGCAAUGAAAGUGACAGUGGUUGGAUGUUUUCUGCACAAUCCGCCGGCCUCAAUCCCUCGGGAGAACGGUCUGAGUGUGAGCAUACAUGUUGGGACCCGAAAGAUGGUGAACUAUGCCUGAAUAGGGUGAAGCCAGGGGAAACUCUGGUGGAGGCUCGUAGCGAUUCUGACGUGCAAAUCGAUCGUCAAAUUUGGGUAUAGGGGCGAAAGACUAAUCGAACCAUCUAGUAGCUGGUUCCCUCCGAAAUUUCCCUCAGGAUAGCUGCGAUCGGAGUUCAAUUUUAUCA
RNAcentral lists this ribosomal RNA (579 nucleotides) under Tryblionella compressa. Its description in RNAcentral is "eukaryotic LSU rRNA". It matches the Rfam family "Eukaryotic large subunit ribosomal RNA", at positions 364 to 1006 of the family's 3401-position model. Lineage: Eukaryota; Bacillariophyta; Bacillariophyceae; Bacillariales; Bacillariaceae. The record is from RNAcentral.